This 1821-nucleotide ribosomal RNA is filed under the name Escherichia coli. RNAcentral's name for it is "partial 23S ribosomal RNA". It matches the Rfam family "Bacterial large subunit ribosomal RNA", at positions 430 to 2236 of the family's 2925-position model. Lineage: Bacteria; Pseudomonadati; Pseudomonadota; Gammaproteobacteria; Enterobacterales; Enterobacteriaceae. The record is from RNAcentral.
UAUCCUGUCUGAAUAUGGGGGGACCAUCCUCCAAGGCUAAAUACUCCUGACUGACCGAUAGUGAACCAGUACCGUGAGGGAAAGGCGAAAAGAACCCCGGCGAGGGGAGUGAAAAAGAACCUGAAACCGUGUACGUACAAGCAGUGGGAGCACGCUUAGGCGUGUGACUGCGUACCUUUUGUAUAAUGGGUCAGCGACUUAUAUUCUGUAGCAAGGUUAACCGAAUAGGGGAGCCGAAGGGAAACCGAGUCUUAACUGGGCGUUAAGUUGCAGGGUAUAGACCCGAAACCCGGUGAUCUAGCCAUGGGCAGGUUGAAGGUUGGGUAACACUAACUGGAGGACCGAACCGACUAAUGUUGAAAAAUUAGCGGAUGACUUGUGGCUGGGGGUGAAAGGCCAAUCAAACCGGGAGAUAGCUGGUUCUCCCCGAAAGCUAUUUAGGUAGCGCCUCGUGAAUUCAUCUCCGGGGGUAGAGCACUGUUUCGGCAAGGGGGUCAUCCCGACUUACCAACCCGAUGCAAACUGCGAAUACCGGAGAAUGUUAUCACGGGAGACACACGGCGGGUGCUAACGUCCGUCGUGAAGAGGGAAACAACCCAGACCGCCAGCUAAGGUCCCAAAGUCAUGGUUAAGUGGGAAACGAUGUGGGAAGGCCCAGACAGCCAGGAUGUUGGCUUAGAAGCAGCCAUCAUUUAAAGAAAGCGUAAUAGCUCACUGGUCGAGUCGGCCUGCGCGGAAGAUGUAACGGGGCUAAACCAUGCACCGAAGCUGCGGCAGCGACGCUGAUGCGUUGUUGGGUAGGGGAGCGUUCUGUAAGCCUGUGAAGGUGUGCUGUGAGGCAUGCUGGAGGUAUCAGAAGUGCGAAUGCUGACAUAAGUAACGAUAAAGCGGGUGAAAAGCCCGCUCGCCGGAAGACCAAGGGUUCCUGUCCAACGUUAAUCGGGGCAGGGUGAGUCGACCCCUAAGGCGAGGCCGAAAGGCGUAGUCGAUGGGAAACAGGUUAAUAUUCCUGUACUUGGUGUUACUGCGAAGGGGGGACGGAGAAGGCUAUGUUGGCCGGGCGACGGUUGUCCCGGUUUAAGCGUGUAGGCUGGUUUUCCAGGCAAAUCCGGAAAAUCAAGGCUGAGGCGUGAUGACGAGGCACUACGGUGCUGAAGCAACAAAUGCCCUGCUUCCAGGAAAAGCCUCUAAGCAUCAGGUAACAUCAAAUCGUACCCCAAACCGACACAGGUGGUCAGGUAGAGAAUACCAAGGCGCUUGAGAGAACUCGGGUGAAGGAACUAGGCAAAAUGGUGCCGUAACUUCGGGAGAAGGCACGCUGAUAUGUAGGUGAAGUCCCUCGCGGAUGGAGCUGAAAUCAGUCGAAGAUACCAGCUGGCUGCAACUGUUUAUUAAAAACACAGCACUGUGCAAACACGAAAGUGGACGUAUACGGUGUGACGCCUGCCCGGUGCCGGAAGGUUAAUUGAUGGGGUCAGCGCAAGCGAAGCUCUUGAUCGAAGCCCCGGUAAACGGCGGCCGUAACUAUAACGGUCCUAAGGUAGCGAAAUUCCUUGUCGGGUAAGUUCCGACCUGCACGAAUGGCGUAAUGAUGGCCAGGCUGUCUCCACCCGAGACUCAGUGAAAUUGAACUCGCUGUGAAGAUGCAGUGUACCCGCGGCAAGACGGAAAGACCCCGUGAACCUUUACUAUAGCUUGACACUGAACAUUGAGCCUUGAUGUGUAGGAUAGGUGGGAGGCUUUGAAGUGUGGACGCCAGUCUGCAUGGAGCCGGCCUUGAAAUACCACCCUUUAAUGUUUGAUGUUCUAACGUUGACCCGU